AAUUAAAUGGCUAGACCAAGUUAAUUUGCAUAUUUGAAAGGAAGAGGCUGCCGCGGUAUAUAAGGAAAAUUAAGGGCAAAAAGUGUGCAUUUACGGUGUAGCGUCUGAGCGAGUCGGUCGUCCCUAGCUGAGAGUGUGCCACGCCAUGAAGAUGUAUCUCAUGCUUCUCGUGGCCGUGAGUGGCCUGGCACUGGCGGACCAUUCUGCUGGCGGUGGACACGAGCAUGGUGGACACGGAGGAGGACAUGGGGGCGGAGGACACGGGGGCGGAUUCUCAGGAGGCCAUGGCGGAGGCAUUUCAUCCUCCUACGGCGCUCCUCCUCCUACUUCCUACGGCCCUCCACCCAAGGCUCCCCUACCCUCCUAUGGACCACCGCCCAAAGCACCCUCUCCUUCCUACGGUCCACCGCCCACCUCCUACGGCCCACCACCCGCAUCCUACGGCCCACCGCCCGCUUCCUACGGUCCACCCCCAAUGACCUACGGGCCUCCGCCGCAGCUGUAUUACUACGUGUCCAAACCUAACCAAGGAGGAGGCAAGGGCAAGGGCAAGGGCGGCUUCAGCAUGAGCACGCUCUUCAAGGCUGGUGACAACGCCAUCAAGGGCAUGAAGGGUGCCAUCUCGAAGGCUGGAGACUACGCUAUGCAGGGUAUGAAGGACACAUUCAACAAGGCUGGCCAGUAUGCUAUCAAGGGUAUGCAGGACAUGUACGAUGUUGGAGACUACGCCUUCAAGGGCAUGAAGGCUGGCUUCGACAAGAUGAAUGGAGCUAUCAAGGGCGGCUUUGAAGAAAUCGGCAGCAAAUUCAAGGGCUUAUCAAAGGGCAAGGGCGGCGACGACGACCAGGACUAUUACUAUGUUUACGUCCCUGCUCCAGCGCCAAGCUACGGACCUCCUCCUGCCACGUACGGCCCUCCCCCUGUCAGCUACGGACCACCCCCUACUAACUACGGGCCUCCACCCACCAGCUAUGGCCCUCCUCCAACUAGCUAUGGUCCCCCUCCCAAGGGUCACGGUGGUGGCCUCGGCGGUGGUCACGGCGGUGGUCACGGCGGUGGUCUCGGCGGUGGUCUCGGCGGUGGUCACGGCGGUGGCCUCGGCGGUGGUCUCGGCGGUGGCGUGUACGGUGCCCCGAAGCCUGAUGACAUUGUUAUCUCCGGCGGAUACGGCGCCCCACCUCCACCCUCUUCAAGCUACGGUGCUCCCCCUUCCAAAGGUGCGACCUAUGGUCCUAAGGGCAGCGGCAGCUUCUUAGGUCACCACUCUAAAUCUCGGCCCCAUGGCAGUCGCCCCAUUCCCGUACCCGCGUCGGUACCGUUGGUGCCCAACAACCUCGUUAUUCCCCGACCCCCUUCCGAGACCUACGACGCCCCCUGGCCCUUGCCGAGCGGCCGCAGGCCAGGGGGCAGCGGUGUGUAUGUCCCCACAUCCACUCCCGGCUUGUUCUCUUCCCCAUUCCCUACGACUACCCACUAUCCCUCGACUGUCCGACCUUUGACACACUCCCCUGACCACCACGGCAAGCCGUGCAUCCAUCACCAUGGAGGUUCCGGCCUAAGCCCAACACCCCUCCCCAUAACUCCGCUUGGCUCUACGCUUCAGCCCCCCCCAGAAUAUCCUCCAUAUCCCCCUACCUCAACAAUUACUAACUCCUUCGGGAGCGUGCCUAAAUUCAAUGACACAUAUUAUUCUUCCUUCGGAACACCCUCACGUCCCCCUCUCCCCUACAAGCCCUUCGCGACAGUCACUAAUCCCCCUCUGACUUACCCCUCCGACCCGUGCUCUCUUCCUCCAGCUUUUACUAGAACUAACGACGGCUCGCCUUGUCUUCAGCCUUUCCCUGGAUCAGUUUCCUCUUUUCCUGGUAACCCAAAGCAUUCCACAAUAUCAGACGAUGACUUCAUCAGUAUUCUUACUAACGACUUGAAUGGUGGUCAGCAUGAUGGCAGUAGGAGUCUGGAGCAUGCUGGGGGAUACAGAGACAGUAGACAAAGCUAUCCUCCGGGAGGGGCCUCCUUUGGGCAGGUGAUAUUGAAAGGACCAACACCUGACAGCAAGGAGGUCAACACACCAGCCACAAUUUUUGAAAACGGCUGGAGGUACAGUAAUUUUUCACUUCUUUUCCCGGCUACCCCUAAAACCCCAACUAGUCAGAGAAGUGGAAUAAACUUUCCACAGAAAGAUUUCCCAACUUCUACCCCUCGACCCUUCAUAACCACAACACGAGAAGGCACGGUUGUUCCCCAAGGCGUGUUACAUACCUCCCCCAGACCCCUCAUAACCACAUUAAAGGAUGGUAGGAUUGUUCCCUUCACCCCGAGAGUUACUCCAACAACUUUUAGACCCCCAACAUCUCGGCAAGGUAGAUUUGAUGUGUUUCACGAGCAGGUCACACCAUCCCGGGAACCCUUGACCGAGCCCUCCGUGUUGAGCCUUAAUCCAGCUUUUCCAGGGGGGUCAGACACUGUGAGCCACCACGGCCCCAACGUUCUGUGGAGCCUCCAGAAUUUCAAACGCCACGCCUCUCAGCAUCCUCCUGCUUUUAACCUUACUCAAUAUCUUAAUUCUUCUUCUGCCCUUACUCAACAAAACAAGGAUGGCUCCACCACAGCUCAACUCCCUUUGCCGACAGUGGUUAAGUUUCCUCUUCAGGGUGUCAAAUCCCAUAGCGAACGCAGUACUAACAUAAUCUCUAACCACUCCAUUCAGCCUCCAAGGACUCUGAGACCUCUGACAGAGACCACGACUGACGCUCCACAGACUGACGCCCCCUCAGCCUCCUCCUCGGAAGAGACUCAACGUGAGGAUCGGCACCGAGGGCUCCCGUCACCCUCCCGCGUCCCCAGCAGACCACGUCCCCAAGCGGCAUCCUAGAGCUCCUCCCCGCACACUGCUCCUAAAUCCUACUUUACCCAACCAUGCCUUUUGACCUAGAAUCCAAAUAUGCCCACUCUUAAUAUCCUUUACCUACACCCAAAACGACAAGCUAUGCCAACAUCCUCUAUCCUGUCUUCACCCUGAUCCAACAUCAUUUACUGUACCACAUCAACUUCAUGCCCCGCACCGCGUAAGGCCAAACGAUGGAAAACCUUGAAACUUCGAUGGACCACUUCUAACAAUAACUAAUUACUAUGUACAUUUGUGAUAAUAUUUGCAUUACACUUAGGAUAAUUAGUCAUUUUCAUAAUAUAAGUAGAUUACAUGUAUCCAAACCCAUAAUAUUCCACUCAUCUUUAUACACAUGGGAGAGUCGUUACAUAUUAGUGUUAUAAAGGUAACUUCACACAAGCAUACACUGACUGGCCCUACUGCCGGCACACCGCUGCCCUCUAGCGGCGACCUGUGGCGUCAGCAGCCUCGCUUCGAGGUGAGGACACGGGCACUAAGGCAGAGGAGGAGAAGGAGGAGGAGGUUUCACUAGUACGAAGAAGAGUACAAGUGGAUCAAACUUACGUCAUUGCCUGAACGGUGCUCAAGGUGAACCCUGUCCGGCUGCCACCAAGCUCUGGUAUCACGUGCCAGUGACGCCACGACGCCACGAGACUCCAGCGAGCAAGUGUUGCCAAUGGAAACAUCUUCCGAUGAAAAAAGAAAACUUAAGACUUCACAUCAUCAAAGAAAAGGCAAAUCUUAGCCCAUAAAUACAGAGACUAUAAAACUGUGAUUUCAUCUAUGGCAAUUUUUUCGUGUUAUAUAAGACGAAAAUUAUUCCUCAGGUCUAGUGCUAAACUCAAUAGUAAAACAACCCACACGGGGUCUGAAUUCUAACUUACAUCUUGAACAUCAUCCAAGAGAAGAAAUAUUACUUUCGAUUGACCAAAAUGAGCAAGAUGUAACUGCUGCUUCACUUGCUGCUUCAAGUUUAUUUGUUUCUGUUGAAAGUUGGUUGGCUCGGCGUCCGUCCCUGACACCUGAUACAAUAAUGUUAACUUAAUUAUCUGGUCAACCGUUCUGGUCAUUAGGGCCACAUCGGUUGACGUGUAAAUAUACUAUGUAACUGUUGAAUGUCACUAAUGCUUCCCUUCUAUGGCUCUAAUGAGACGCUGAAGACGCUAAAAUAGGCCGACAAUAAGUGAACUGGGCAGCCAUCGUCGCAGUUUACAAGUUCUCUUAACUUGGCAUUGUUUUAGUAAAUAGUAAUUGAACCAGUAUUACAUUUAAGAAAGAUUGUUUCGGGAUGCGUCUUUGCACCGCUCUGAACUUGGACGAGUUUACAAAAAAGGUGCGAGUCUCAUCACAGCUCAUUUUCCUACAAACAGACAGUCCGACAUUCACCGUCACUGCUCGCCCGCUGCGGUCUGCUGUCAUUCACUUUUUACUCUCUGUAGAUGCAUGUAAAUAUACUGGGAUGUUUCGUUGUUACUCCGUUCCAACAGCCACAGCUAAGGACCAGUCGGCGGCAGAGAGACAAUCAAAUAAGUGAAAGCCUGCCCAUGCAGCCUCUGCGUAGACGAGGGGAAAAGUUAAUUAAUUAGUAAUAGAGGCCUCCUUAGAUUUUUCUGGUGGCCUCCACGCCGCUACCUCGCCCGUAGUUCUGGCUGUUGAAGUACCGACGACUUCGAGUAAAACAGGCAUUUAUUCAUAACUUCUUCCUGCUACUUCUUUUGAGCAACAGUCACGUUUUUACUUCCCGUGUGGAUUUUUUUCUAGUAUGUUGUAGACCUCUUAGUCUAGAAGUGUAUUCUUCAAGGUGUUUUCUCUCGCCCUAGUACUGGUCAAGGUGCUGACGUCUUACUCAGCCCAUGUUAAGGCUUCACUUAACUUCAGUGUCUUGACAUCCUGGUCUCUAGAUGAACAUUGUCUCGAGAGCUUCAGAUAGAGAAGAAAGACUGAGUGUUUGUUUAGACGGGUGAGACAAAAUUUGGAAGGAGGGAAAUUGUUGGAAUUAGCUUGUAAGAUACUUUUAGCCAAAAUAAUAUGUCACUGCUCCAUUCUCCCUAAGCUCAUGUAAUUUUGUUUUAAGCACAGUUUCCAGAGCUAACAAAUUGACACCCCUAUCUAUUUUUUGUUGUAGGCUAACAAUUUUCGCCCUGACAUAUAAUUCAAAACUUAUUCAAUACCAAAGAUGUUACCAGAAUUUUAUUAUUGUUGUUGAGCAUGUCGUGCCAAGCUGAGAACCUGCUAAAUAUUGCUAAUACGAACACCCACCCACCCACCUACACACACACACACACACACACACACACACACACACAAGAAUAUAAGUGACAUAAGUAUCGCCUCAACCAACCAUCAUUCUUGCUUCAUGUAAAUAAGAAACGUAACAAACAAUAUUCAGUAGAGUUUCUUCUUAGUUAUUUUUCUGUAUACAUAAAAUAUCAAAUGGCACUUUUGUAGCGGCGUGAGAAGCAUUCAUAGUGUAAAGGCUUGUUAAGUUUGUCUUUUGUUUCUUCCAAAUUACAAAUUUCAUUCUUAAUCCAUGUGCAUCUUUGACAGGUUACAAAAGCAUGUCUUCGUCCUUUUCCUCGGCCGCCGCCCUGCACACUCGUCCCUUGACUCACGCUUGAGAUCAAUGCACAAUGUAAAGAUUCCAGACAAAAAUAUAUAAAGAUAAAUAAUCAAGCAAACAAGUGAUCAAAUAAAAAAUAAAGCGUUUAUAAGUUUAAAACACUAGAUGGAUGUUUAUUUUUUUAUCCGAGACGAGGAGUGUGACGCUUGUCUUCAACAGUAAAGGCAUACAUUCAUGCCAUCGUGUUGCACUGAUCAAAGAUCAUACAUUAAUUCGGACUGUGACCCUUGUCGGCACUACACAGAGGUGAUGCUGUCCAUCUCAGGAAGGUGAGCAGACCUUCUGCAUGUCACGUGGAGGGUCAAACCCUUGUCCUUACGUAAAGAACAGACAUGCUGAGGAGGCGGCUGUUCCUAGGUGACAUAAAUAAAACAUCAAUUACUCAUAAAAAAAUAAUAAACUCGUUUAACCCUCUCUUUGGGUCCAGUGUUCUCAGGCACAGAUUAAUAUGAUUUUGGCAUAUAAUGGAAUAUUGUGCCACAGCUUGAGAAGACGCUAAAAAUGUGUUGGUCAUGAAGACAGUCAUGUGCGAGUGAGGGCGCGGUGAAGAGUGGCCGCGGCGGGGUGGGCGUCGCCUGUGUUGCGUGCGGGGUAUCAUGUGGCCUACUCUUCCCUAAAUGAGAACAUUUAUGUCUCUGAAUAGCUGUUUUAAGACGUCAUCCUGCACGUAACCAAACAUGGUCUUUAUUCUUUCCAUAGUGCAUAAUUAUGGCGUUUCAAUGUGUAUAUAACUACUCAAACUUCACUCACUAUCUGUCCUUAGUUAUAUAUUAUUUUUCAUGCAAGAUGCUCCAUUUCACUUUUCACUGUAUAUCUACUUUUUUAGUGUAUGUAUCACCUACCUGUACUAUAGUCUGAAUAAUAUGUAAUAGAUUAUUACGAAUGAUGACUUACAUUCGUCCAUAAGAGACCCGGGCUGAUACAGAAGCAAUGAGUGUAAUUUUCAUCAUAGCUCUUGUAAAUGUAAUAGUAUUCUGCUAUCUAAACUAUAUGCUUCAAGGAAUAUGAAAAUAUGUAAAACUCUGAUGCCAAGUUUUCCACAAAUACAAAAACGUUUUGAGUAAUAAGUAGAUAAAACAUGAUUCAACGUGUGACCAAGAUCAGCACAAGGAUCAGUCUAGCUCUCUUCAGAUUAAUGUAACGAAAAAAGGCGGGUAGGUGGGGGCCUCGGUCGCGGCUCGCCUCAGCAGCGCCGCGGCUCUGGACCUCACCUGCUCUAAAAUAUAAAGAAAAACAAAACAA
Molecule: RNA transcript, 6752 nt
Organism: Eriocheir sinensis (Chinese mitten crab)
Lineage: Eukaryota; Metazoa; Arthropoda; Malacostraca; Decapoda; Varunidae
Exons: 5
Source: RefSeq, a predicted model, not a curated record